This 732-nucleotide ribosomal RNA is filed under the name uncultured bacterium. Its description in RNAcentral is "bacterial SSU rRNA". It matches the Rfam family "Bacterial small subunit ribosomal RNA", at positions 784 to 1505 of the family's 1533-position model. The record is from RNAcentral.
ACCCUGGUAGUCCACGCUGUAAACGAUAAUCACUAGACGUUGGUCCUGUUUAACGGGAUCAGUGUCGAAGCUAACGCGUUAAGUGAUUCACCUGGGAAGUACGGUCGCAAGAUUAAAACUCAAAGGAAUUGACGGGGGUCCGCACAAGCGGUGGAACAUGUGGUUUAAUUCGACACUACGCGAGGAACCUUACCUAGGCUUGACAUGUAUUUGACAGUCCUAGAAAUAGGAUCUUCUGGGCUUCGGUCCAGACGGAUACACAGGUGCUGCAUGGCUGUCGUCAGUUCGUGUCGUGAGAUGUUUGGUUAAGUCCUCUAACGAGCGCAACUCUUGUCUUUAGUUGCUACUUUUAAGUAAAGCACUCUAAAGAGACUGCCUGGGAAACCAGGAGGAAGGUGGGAAUGACGUCAAGUCAGCAUGGUCCUUAUGCCUAGGGCUACACACGUGUUACAAUGGUCGGUACAAAGGGUUGCUAAUCCGUAAGGUGGAGCUAAUCCCAGAAAGCCGAUCUAAGUUCAGAUUGAGGUCUGCAACUCGACCUCAUGAAGUUGAAAUCGCUAGUAAUCGCAUAUCAGCAACGAUGCGGUGAAUACGUUCUCGGACCUUGUACACACCGCCCGUCACACCAUGAGAGCUGUUUGUACCCGAAGCCAUCUUAGCCAACUUGUAAAAGAGGCGGAUGUCUAAGGUAUGAGGAGUGAUUGGGGUGAAGUCGUAACAAGGUAGCCGUAA